Molecule: ribosomal RNA, 861 nt
Filed under: uncultured archaeon
Lineage: Archaea
Description: bacterial SSU rRNA
Rfam family: Archaeal small subunit ribosomal RNA
Source: RNAcentral
UGAUCCUGCCGGAGGCUACUGCUAUCGGGGUUCGAUUAAGCCAUGCGAGUCAAAUGUUCUUUGUGAACAUAGCGAACUGCUCAGUAACACGUGGAUAACCUACCCUUAGGACCGGAAUAACCCCGGGAAACUGGGGAUAAUACCGGAUAAGCCAUAGACGCUGGAAUGCCCUAUGGUUCAAAGCUCCGGCGCCUAAGGAUGGAUCUGCGGUCUAUCAGGUUGUAGUGGGUGUAACGUACCUACUAGCCGACGACGGAUACGGGUUGUGAGAGCAAGAGCCCGGAGAUGGAUUCUGAGACACGAAUCCAGGCCCUACGGGGUGCAGCAGGCGCGAACACUUUACAAUGCGGGAAACCGCGAUAAGGGAACCCCGAGUGCCAGCAUCAAAUGUUGGCUGUCCAGAUGGUUAAAAAUCAUUUGUUAGCAAGGGCCGGGCAAGACCGGUGCCAGCCGCCGCGGUAACACCGGCGGCCCGAGUGGUAGCCGUUUUUAUUGGGUCUAAAGGGUCCGUAGCCGGCCUGAUAAGUCCUUUGGGAAAUCUGACAGCUUAACUGUCAGGCUUCUAAGGGAUACUGUCAGGCUUGGGACCGGAAGAGGUAAGGGGCACUCCAGGGGUAGGAGUGAAAUCUUGUAAUCCCUGGGGGACCAUCUGUGGCGAAGGCGCCUUACCAGAACGGGUCCGACGGUGAGGGACGAAAGCUAGGGGAGCAAACCGGAUUAGAUACCCGGGUAGUCCUAGCUGUAAACGAUGCUCGCUAGGUGUCAGACACGGUGCGACCGUGUUUGGUGCCGCAGGGAAGCCGUUAAGCGAGCCACCUGGGAAGUACGGUCGCAAGGCUGAAACUUAAAGGAAUUGGCGGG